Saccostrea cuccullata (small rock oyster) is the source of this 1619-nucleotide RNA transcript. It is a transcript of the gene named isocitrate dehydrogenase [NAD] subunit gamma, mitochondrial-like, with no coding region annotated. The transcript has 16 exons. The record is from RefSeq and is a predicted model, not a curated record. Lineage: Eukaryota; Metazoa; Mollusca; Bivalvia; Ostreida; Ostreidae.
AGACUUUUCACAAGUUCGCAAGCUUUUGAAGGUCAAGGUUAAAACAAUGGCGGCGCCCAUGCAACGUUCAAUUUUUAACUUGCUGAAAUCAACAUCUGGUAGUUUAAAAAGAUCGCUAAGCGGAACAAAUAGAGUGACUGGAAGUCUUCUUAAUCAGCAACGUAGAGCAGACGUCAGAGACUAUUCAACAGAGCCACAACAUGCACAAUAUAGUAAAUAUGGAGGAAGAACUACUGUGACAGCCUUGACAGGAGAUGGCGUUGGACCAGAGUUAUUAUCUUAUGUAGAGGAAGUGUUCAGAUAUGCAGGGGCCCCUGUAGAUUUCGAGAAUUUGGAAAUAAAUGCUAGCACAAGUGAUGAGGAAACACUACGCAGUGCUAUCCUGUCAGUGCAGCGCAAUGGAAUAGCUCUCAAAGGAAAUAUUGAGAGUAAAUUUGACGAACCAGGAUUCAAAUCCAUGAAUGUUGAACUAAGGACAAAGCUGGAUUUAUUUGCCAGUAUUGUGUGGUGUAAAUCCAUUGCUGGAGUCCACACUCGACACCAAAACUUAGACAUCAUCUUAAUAAGGGAAAAUACAGAGGGAGAAUACUCAAACCUAGAAUAUGAGAUUGUACCAGGCUGUAUAGAGAAUCUGAAAAUAAUAACAGCAGCAAAGUCUACCAAGAUUGCUAAAUAUGCCUUCGAAUUUGCCAAGACCCAUGGUAGAAAGAAGGUCACAGCUAUUCACAAGGCAAACAUCAUGAAAUUAGGAGAUGGACUUUUCUUAGAAUCUUGUAGAAAGGUGGCCUGUCAGUACCCAGACAUUGAGUUCAGUGACAUGAUUGUAGACAAUGCCAGUAUGCAGAUGGUGUCUAAGCCUCAGCAGUUUGAUGUCCUAGUGAUGCCCAAUCUCUACGGUAACAUCCUGAGUAACAUCACCGCUGGGCUGGUCGGGGGCCCCGGGGUGAUUCCAGGCAUGAACAUCGGGGACAACUACGCUGUCUUUGAAAUGGGAACUAGAAGUUCUGGUCGCAGUAUGAAAGGGAAGAAUAUUGCCAAUCCCACAGGAAUGUUGUUAGCAAGCUGUGAUAUGUUGGACUACAUUGGCUAUAACCACCACGCUGAGUUAAUCCGAGAAUCUGUGAUGAAGGUUUUGUCUGAGGACAGGAUUCAGACCCCAGAUCUAGGAGGUCAUGCAACAACUUUAGAAGUUGUACAAGCCAUCAUAGAUGAUAUUAAACCAAAGACGUCUAGUUGGAGUUCCACUGCAGCACAAAAUAUUUACAGCCUCAGAUGAGGUAAUGGGCAGUUAGAACAUCUUAAAUAAGCUGCAUGAUUAGACUGUCCACAUGAGGAACAAUGAAGAAAAGGGGUACCACUACUGAACAAUGAAGCUAUCCAAAAGGAAUAUUUUGUAAAAUGUUAAAAGUGUUUUGUAAAUUUAGAAGAAAAAAAGAACAGUUUUAGCAGCUUCCAGUACUGUUUAUGUUUCAAUUGCAUGAAGUGAAAGAAUUUUUUUUUAAUUUUUCCUUUUAAAUUGUUAUAUUAGUUAAAUUUACUUAAAUUAUUUUCCAUUAUGUUAUUGUGUUCCUACAUAUAUAUGUAUUUGUUUUUAUUAAAAGAUGAAGAUCUGAACUGAA